CCCUUAGAUGUUCUGGGCCGCACGCGCGCUACACUGAAGGGAUCAGCGUGUUUUCCCUUCCCGAGAGGGACGGGUAACCCGCUGAACCCCCUUCGUGGUAGGGAUCGGAGCUUGCAAUUGUUCUCCGUGAACCAGGAAUUCCCAGUAAGCGCAAGUCAUAAGCUUGCGUUGAUUACGUCCCUGCCCUUUGUACACACCGCCCGUCGCUACUACCGAUUGAACGUUUUAGUAAGGUAUUUGGACUGGGCCUUGGGAGGUUUCGGCCUCCCUUGUUGCUCGGAAAGACUCCCAAACUUGAGCGUUUAGAGGAAGUAAAAGUCGUAACA
This 326-nucleotide ribosomal RNA is filed under the name uncultured eukaryote. RNAcentral's name for it is "partial 18S ribosomal RNA". It matches the Rfam family "Eukaryotic small subunit ribosomal RNA", at positions 1470 to 1796 of the family's 1831-position model. The record is from RNAcentral.